AGAGACAGAGAGAGAGAGAGAGGAGGGGUCGAUCCCGCGGCGCCGGGCUCCUCCGGCGGUUAUCCCGUCCUACCGACCACCGGCGGCCUGCAAGCCGGUGAGUACGUGCAGCGUUCCGAAGAGGCGCGUGCUCGCAGGGGGAGGGGAGGGGGGAGGCGCCGGAUCUCGCUGGACAAGUGCGUCAACAACAUGUGGUAUAUUUCGUUUCUUCCUGACCUGGAUCCGACUACUUUAUUUUUCGAGUUUACCGACGAGUAGAUCUGCUGUGUGUUCAUCUAGUGUCACCAACUGUUGGUGGUCACCUUAAGCGUUACUUCUUUCUUCUUCUGUUCUAGAUCCGACUGAGCUAGAUUUGUUCGGCUAAGUUCACGGUGAUGUGGAUCUGAAAUGCAAACUGUCGGUCAUCCACCCUAGGCUUCCUUCCGUUCUACUCCCAAGUGAAUCACGCGUCUGCUUCAAGAUCCAGUUAAAUCAGGAGUGGAUCUAGUUUCUUCAAGUCAAAAAAUCACGAGUACCAAGUGUUAACUGUUGGUGGUCAGCCGUAGGUUUCCUUAAGCGUUAGUUCUAGAUCCGACUGAGCUAGAUUUGUUCGGCUAAGAUCACGGUGAUGUGGAUCUGACUGAAAAGCAAGCUGUCGGUCAUCCAUCGUGUGUUUCCUUCCGUUCUACUCCAAGUGAAUCAUGCGUCUUCUUCGAGAUCCAGUUAAAUCAUGACGAGUGGAUCUAGUUUCUCCAAGCAAAUCACGAGUGUCAGUCAUUUCUUCCCUGGCCGGCCGGUGUGUGCAUCUUAGUUCUUCAGUGCACAUUGCUGCCUGUACAUGAUAGAUUUACAGUGCUAAUUUGGUCAUACAAGCUACUUGAGCGCAUCCACCAAAAGCUUCCUAUUCUGUGUACGGUCCUAGGUGGAUCUGUAUUAGACACAUCUUGAGGUCAACCACCAAAAGCUUCCUACACAGUAUUUAGCCUAUGAAAACUGUAUGCUAUAGUCAUACUAGUGUGGGGUGAAAAUCACAGCUGCUUGGGACUUGAAAAGAUGAUGCUUCGAACGAAAUGGAAGGAUACUGUUAUUCACCUGUAUCAUCCACUGGUUUCUUUUGUGCUGGUUAGUGUGUGCAGAUCGUUGGUCAUCCACUUCUUUUUUGCGGGGACACAUUGGGUGUUUGAUAUAAGCUGUUUUGCUUUGCCUAGAUAGAUAACUAGCUCAUAUCUUGCUGAUUUGGUUGCCGCUAACCAUUGCAAAAACUUUCAUUUGAAUAGGUACCUUGUAUGGGAUGAAGUGAAGGCUAUUUUGUUAAUCAAUCAUCAUAUUAUGUGCACAAUAAGCUUUUGUUAUGCUUUCACCGUCGAUGCCCACUGGCUGGAUCAUACUUCUGUUUAUGAGCUCAUUGAAGUAACUCUCUCCUAGCUUAAAUCGGCCAAUUUCUCGUUUGCAUUAUAUAUAAAACCUUCAGCUAUCCAUCUCCAUAUCAGUUCGUCUCUCUUAAUUUUGUAAUCUUUUGGAAAUAUGCUUAAAUAUCCUCAAACAUAAGUACAAGCCACACAUGCUGCACCAAUACUAUGCAAAGUAGCAUAGAGUGAGUAAAAUAGGCUCUUGACUUUUAGAUUAUACAAGAGCGGUUAUCUACAAGUCAACCCUUUUUUUACUAACUACUAGUAGCCUUGAUAUAUCUAUAUGAUUAGUUAUUAUGUCCAAGUAUGUUUUUAGAAGAUUAAGCAAACUCAUUUGAUAUGUAAAUGGAUAGUUUGAGGUUUUAUUUAUAAUGAUAAACAAGGGAUUAGCAAGUUUGAGCUCGGUGAUAGAAUUACUCAAUGAGAUCGCAAAUAGAAGCAUGGUUCAGCCAAUUGACAUCAAUGUUGAUAAAGGCAUGGAAAAAUCUUAUCGUAUACAUGAUAUGGUGAUUGAUUCCAUAUGUUUUUGCCAAGUGAAGAAAAACCAUUUGCACGGCACUCAGUCAAAGGCAAGAUUUGAAGACUAAACAUUCCGAAGAGCAUGACAGGUUUGAAGAUUAAACGGUUUAAGUUCUCCUCCUUUUGGAUUUAAUUAGGAUAUAUGCUUCCAUUCCUGUCAAUUGAGACGGCCUGAUAACACUGCAUUUCCCUUGGUGUUUUGAUUUGUCCUUCUUCUGCAACAUACAUGCGAGUUGUCGUUCCCACUUACUCUGCGGUGCCUGCUCUACUUUGCUCAUGAAGAACUUCUUUUCUUCAUUUCUCUGUUUACUCAAAUGCUUGUGGACUGAAAUUUAAGUCGUUCAGUUUAUAGAACAUUUUGAAAUUUCACCUUUUAUUUGUAGAUGUUGCUAUUGCCUUGCAUCUUCCGCAGUUUUGUUCUCUUCUUUUGUGUGGAUUUGCAGCUAGCAAAAUGGAAAGUUCAUGGUGGGUCAGUUUGGAGGCUUCAUAUUUCAUAAUUGUUAUUGUGUGGUUCACACUAGAAUUUGAUUUUAAUGCGUACUUGUGCAUUUUUUGUUAGGAUUAUCAUGCUUGUUUUUCUAUGUAAUUGCUAUGAUUCAAGGCUACGUAUUUUGUUUAACCCAUUAUUUGCCAUUUGAAAACAAUGGUGGCAUCAACAGUUGGUAAUUGCAAAUGCUUAUCACUGGUUACCGCCUAAUGCUUGCUUGGUUUUCGGUGUGAUUUCAGCUUCGCACCACCCACGUUUUGUGAGACAAUAGUACAUCCAAAAGGAGAAGUUGUUGAGCUGAUAGUCAUGACAGCCUAUAAAAUAGGCGCGGUGAUUGAAGCUCGUGAGUAACACGAGUAACAAGACAACAAAAAACCAUGCUAAAGCUGGAGGGAUUCAUAGAAAAUGUGUAGGAAAAAAAUCCCUGAGAAUGUGAUUUUAACGCAUACUUGUCCGUGAGAAAUGUACCUUCACUACAUUUUUGGGGUUUCUAGAACAUGGACCAUAUGCGUCCAAGUAGAGAACAUAAAUAUCCACUGUUCUUUAUUCUUUCAUCUGUUAGUUUUGAUGUUGUUUUGGAUAAUAGAUAAUCAAGGCAUCGUAGGUGGCAGCAUUGAUUAGAGAUUCAGUCUAAUGUACUUGUUUAUAGCGGUGCUGCCAUGAAGUUUGGUCUAUAAAGUUCUGCUGUGUAAACAUACUGCUGAUCUGCUGAACUAAAAUUAUGGCCCUGUUUACCUGUGGUGGUGCACUGUACAACAAUUUCACCUGUUCUUUCAUAGCUCACCUUAUGUGUGGCAUCUUCUACUAGUAUCGUAUAAAUGUCUAUGUCAGAACACUAGCUGCUGGCACUCCCAUCUUUGACCGAUGGAUGUAAAGGUCUACCUUCUCCGGCACCUCCAACGAGUACGCCGACUUCAACGCCUACUACUGAGAAGACGACUAUGGGAAGGACAUGUGAUCACUAUGAUAUGUCCGGUCAUAUGAUGAACUGGCAUGUGUUAGAUUUAUGUACGUUGCAUGAGGUUGUAUGAAUUUGAAAGUAUUGACACGAGGUAGAUUGCCGCAGACGCAAAGAAAUGAAAAGACGAGUGGGCGCUAGCCGCGAUUGCAUACCCGGUUGAAUCGGAGCUGGAGAUGCUCUUUCUGUGCACCAGUUAUUAAUUAGGGCCAACCUUUUUCAGGUUAUAGGGAGAGCAAUUUUGUUACCCACCCGCCGCAAAGCCAUUGCUAAGUUUCCGGCCGUGACUUUGCAGGCGCGCACUUUGUAACUUCGUGGAGCAAACAAGCCAGCAUUUGAUGUGGCUUGGCCGGAAUGAGGUUCAGUUUUACGUACUACUCACUCCGUUCCUAAACAUAAGUCUUUUUAAAGAUUUCAUUAAGAGACUACAUAUAAAACAAAAUAAAUGAAUAUACAUUCUAAAACAUACAUAUAUAUCCAUAUAUAGUUUUUUAAUAAAAACUCUAAAAGACUUAUAUUUAUAUAGUUUUUUAAUAAAAACUCUAAAAGACUUAUAUUUAAAAAUGAAGGAAGGAGGAAGUAGUAGUUAAGAUAGGCGUCGCCAUCUUAAUUACAGGUCGCAUCCGUUUUCUCCCCUAAUCACCACCACGUGCCAUGUACACGUCGCUUUCGCUUCCGGACGGAGGCACAACUUAGCAGCUGUUCGUGGCUCGGCCACAAGCCCGUCGUGUCGUGUCGUGUCGUGGAAUGAUCAAACGUAGGCAGGUAGGAAAAUAAUGGGGUUGUACAUGCGCAAGCGAAGCACCGAAUCCUCCAACGGCAGCGCGCCAUCUAAUACCCCCGGCGAGCACAGUGAAGAGGAACGUACCUUAUCACCGGCGCGCGCGCAUCAGUUGGUGACCGGCCGGCGUGAAACUGUGAAAGGCUAGCCGUGCAGGCCAUGUGUCCAUUUCCCGAUAGAAAGAAGGAAAAAGAAGGAACGUGGCAGCCAUGUUUAUGGCCCAUGGCUGGACGCGACGGGCGGUGCCAGUGCGCGCGCAACAGGCUGCCUUCGCGCCGAAGCAACGCAACAAAAGGCGAAACGGUCGGCCGGCUGGCCUCGCUGUGUAGAUGCUUCGAGAGAAAUCGCGGGGACGUGUCAACCGCCCAUAGGCCGGCCAGCUGUCACCCCCGCAGAAUAAAUAGGCCUCCCCACCCCUACGCCUUUCCCCAGUGCCUUCCCCAGCAACACCAAAGAUCCGAUCCUCUCCUCUCUUAUUCUACCACUCUCCGCCGCCACAGCCACCACCAAUCGAAGAAGCAAUGGCCGCCUCCGCCAUCGCGUCGAAGGCCGUGGCCGUCCUCGCCGUCCUGUCGGUCGCCGCCUUCUCCCUCGUCGCCGCGCAGGAGGCCCCGGCGCCGAGCCCCAUGUCCGCCGCUGGCGUCGCGGCCCCCUCCCUCGCCGCCGCGCUCGUGGCCUCCGGCGCCGCCUUCCUCUUCGCCGCCUCGCGCCACUGAAGCAGCAGCAGCUGCCUCCGUCCGUCGAUGGCAGUAUAGCAGUAUUGUUUUCACUAGCGAUUUGUUGGUUGUUCGUGUCCUUUUCCCCCAGAUCUGCCUGCUACCGUCUAUUACUCGACUCGAUGAUGAUUGAUUAUCUCUCUCCCUCUAGUAGUAGAGAUUGUACCCGUUUGCCUGUACAUACUUCUCGCCAGUGCUAUUUAUCCACCGGUUCGAUCUGCUGAUAAGUAUGAUAGCUCCAUUUAUUCAGUCGUUGUUCGUGAAUUUUGAUGCUCGUGAGUCAGCGUGAUGGAUCUGUUUCUCUUUCUCGUUUCUCCAUUAUCUGGUGGCAGAAUUGCUUUAUGCAGCCAGCUUCAUAUGCAGAUAUGCUUGUUACUGAUCCUUCACGCUAUCAAUCACAGCAGGGAACACUCUUCGAAUGAAUAUCACGAACUUUGGAGAAUUUUUUUUUUGAGUAAAAACAGCCGCAGCGACUGCUGCACUACACGUGAGUGGUGGACUCGGAGUCAGAGACUCAGAGGUGGUGCUGGUCGUUUGGCCUGCCUCCCGUGAAUUGAUAGGUCAUUUUCUUGGUGCGAUGCUUGGUAAAAACUGCCUGUUUCUCUUAAACAAGUGGCAUGUUAUUACCAAGCUUUCCAUCAGCAGUCAGCACAAGGAAACAAAUAACAUCUUAGCGAUCUACAGUAGUAUUUGAUAGACUGUCCACAGACCUACAGAUGUAAAUCAGUUUCCUUUUUUUCACGACCAUAGGGGUAGUUGUUACUAGAAUUUGCCAUCUGGCCUAUGUUGUACUCCCUCCGUUCCUAAAUAUAAUUCUUUUUAGAGACUACAAAAUGGGCCCGUGCGUUGUCACAGAAGAAAAAAAAACAUAAUCUUCAAUGAUGGUGACCACAUUAUGUUCACAUAUCAUCGCUUAAUUUAGAAAUUUUGUAACAAAAUCAAGAAAAUGUUUUUUCUUUUAAAUUUAUUCAAAAAUUAAAGCAAUCUUUACAUUUUCAAAAAAUAUAUAUCAUGGUUGUCAAAAAUCUUGGUAACUCAAAAAUUUAUUCUGAAUUUCAAGAAUUUUUUUAAAAAACAUACAAUAAUAAUUCGAUACAUCAAAUAGUUAAUUCUUCAAAAUUCACACAGGCAUAUUAUUACAAAGACUUGUAAGCAUUAAUGUUUAACUACAUACAUUAGAUCUUUCGUGAAUAAUUUUAUAAAUAUGGGAAUAAUUUUAAAAUUGAGAACAUUUUUUACAAUUCAAAUUUUUUUAUUAAAAAUCAUGAAUAUUUUUUAUAUUUCGAACGGGUUUAAAUAUUUUCUUUUGAAUUGGCGACCAAUUCAAGAAAAGACGAAUAAUUUUUUAUCUUGGAGGAUUUUAUUUUAAAUUUACAAACAUUUUUUGAAAUGCAUGUAGCUUUUCUGAAUAAAAAAACAUUUUUAUAAAUCAGUCAUAUAUUUAUUAAAUUCAUGGACAUUGUUUUGGAAUUUGCAAAAAAAAUAAAUCCGGCGCUUUUUUUUAAUCCUAUAUUUAAUUCAAAAUAAAAAUUCGUCAGCAUUUUAAUUCAAAAUUCCUAUUUUUUAAUAUGCAAAAAGUUUUUGUAAUUCUAAAUUAUUUAACUUAUAAAUAAACAAAAAUGGAACGGAAAAUUUUUAAUAAAAAAGAAACUAUCAAAACAGGCAUUAGCUAUUUUUAAAAUUUUAGGACAUUUUUAAAUGCAUUAACAUAUUUUGAAUUAGAAAGCAUUUUGUUAAAUGCAUUUAAUAAUUUUUAAUACAUGGAAUUGUAUUUGAGAUCAUGGACUUUACUUAUUGUACAAAUAUAUUUUUUCUAAAAUUGCAAACAUUUUAUUGUAUAUGCGAGUAUUUUUUACAAAACUCCGAGCAGUUUUUGAAGUCACAAACAUUUUAAUUUUUUAAAUAUGUUGAUUUAUAUUUUUCAGUUUAUUAAAAUUAUAAAGAUUAUUUGAAGUUCUAAUUUAUUUAAAAUAAAAAAUAAAACGGAACUGAAAAUAAAUAAAUAAACGGAACUAAAAGUAGGCGCGUGUGCAUGGGCCGGGCCAUACGGUGUGCUGGAUAUUCUCCCAGCGUGCAGAGCGUAAUAUAGGAGGUUUUUAUAUGGACCGGCCCAAUCUAAGAUUUUUCGCUUUGUGAAACGUUUUCUAUUACUUACCGGUGGCAUGGUGGGUAAUUUAUACAAAAUUUAAGGGUAAUUCUAAGACGGACGACCAGAAACCGAAUUUGCUUUAUUAUUACUAGCACAAAUGUCCGUGCGUUGCAACGAUGGAAAGAGAAAAAAAAUAUCAUGUCAAUGACCUACUCCAGUAAUCGUGAAAAAACAGAAGAUGACAUUUUUUAGGGAAGGCCUAUAUGGCCUGGUUUAUUGAUAACUAACAGUGAUUACAUCUUCCACAAGAUAAGCAGUUAGGGCGGUCAUCGUCACAAGUACAACAAACAUUAUUAAGAUAAUUAUACUUACAGCUAGUUCAUGAGCCACAACAUUGGCCUCACGUAGACAAUGCAUGAAUUUGACCUUCCCUUUUAAAGACACACAAUCCAUGAUUUCUAUGUAUAUUGCGGCAGCUGGAAACACCGUUUGUCUCGCCCGAGCACAAAUUAACAACGUCGAGGCAAUCAGAUUCCGCCAUCACAUUAUGAAUACCCCGAGAAAAAAAUAAGCGAUAGUAUUUGUUGCAUCGGUAGCAUGUGAAGUUUGUCUAUGAAGAUACUGUAAAUACCAAGCGUCGACAGAGAUGACCAUUUGUAUGGUAAGUGACGGUAUACACUGGCUCUCAAGGGAUACAAAUAAAGUGCUCCAAAAUUGCAGAUCCUGAGCGAUUCAAGGCAGUUGCGUCCGAAAUCACAUGAGCUAGUCCGAGCGCAUUCCAAAGGGCAGUGGCUCGGCUGCAGGUAAACAAGAGAUACUUGACAUCUUCGACACCCUGAUUGCAUAUAGGACAAUGACCCAUUCUACCUACUUGGAAGUUAGUAAGAAUUGAUUUCUCCAGCACAAGAUCUGAACUUUGAGAGGUAUGGAUAGUUUCCAAAGACAAUGCCAAACUGGGAUAGUAGCUGAUGGACCUGAAGAUGAAACAUUGGAAUUCCGCCUAUAUCGACGAGUCAAUUCAACAUAGUAAGCAGUGCGAACCAAGAAAAUACCAGUCCUUCUAUGCAACAAUAACAUAAGCAAGGAGGAAGGUAGCUAAGUUUAUCAUGACACUCAACAAUAUUUCUUAACUGAAGACGAGCAAAUGCAUCAGGAAAGAGCAGUUACCACUGUGAUCUCUUCUGAAGGUUCAUCCUCAUCAACAAAAUCUGAAUUAUGCGCUUUCCCAUUUGCAAAGGCCAGAUCAUCAGAUGAAGCUGAGUCUACUGGUAUUCCCGGGUUCUGUGAACCUUUAUUGCCGUAUUCAAGUGGGGCGGCAUCAUGUUCAUUCUUGGAGCACUUAUCCUCUAGAACUGAUGGGCUGGCAACAUAGGACGUGUUAAUGCGGGACAAAAUUUUAUUCAUAAGAAUUGGCAUAAAGAUAAAUAGUUGCGAAGAAUAAAGCAUACCGGUUGUUCAAAGUAAUUUCCCCUCCAAUUACUGUCUGAAUAGUGUUCCUUUGGUACUUCCGUCUUGGCUCUACAAAAACUUCACUUGGAUCAUAUGAGAACGAAUAAUUCCUUUCUUUACUAACUUUUGCACCACCAACUUGAGGUAUUUCUCCAGCUUGGUCACCUAGCUCAUCAGCAAGUGAUCCAUUGAUGUCAGCAGUUUUCCGAAGGUUUUUUGGUACACAGUUCUGAAGAAGUUUACCAUUAUCAUGACAAGAACUCUUCUCAGGAGAGCGUUUGAAUAUCACCUGAGCGCAUUUUCGAACCCAAGAUACUGGUGUAGAGACUGAAGGCCAUCAGACUCUCACAUACUUCUAUGCAAUGUUGCUCCUCCUCUCAUGGCUGGUGGGGAGGGGAAGAAGACGGAGAGACUGAAAUCAGUGGGCUCGAGAAAACACAUACAUGUAAUUUGUCCAACAAAUUGACUGAAACAUGCAGCAAAAUACACCGUCAAUGGUUUUUUCCUUGCUUCACCUUAACCAACACGCAACACAAUACAUCGUCAUUGAAAUGAGAUUUCAACAAAGGAAGAACCCUACUUAGUAAGUUUAAGGGGUUUCAGCCCAACAUUGACUAAAACUAUUUUCGAGAAACUGGACAGUUGGACCUACACCGAGAUAGAACAAUAUACAAAGUAUUCCCUAGAGUAAACAUUGGCUCUAAAAUUGUCCAAAUGAAGCCGACAUGUCAAAGCCCUGAGAUAAACAUAUCCAAUAAAAAACUCCAUGCAUGAACAACUCUAUGAUCUAGCUGGGUGCGCAAAUAGGUGUUAAAAAAACUCACAGGAAUAAUCUUGGAGAGCAUAAGUACAUAUUUAGUCAAAUUAAAAGGCAAAGUCAGAGCAGGGAAUAGUUGAUCCGAAAGACCUGCCAUAUGAAUGCACAAACAUUCAUAUGAGUGUUCAGGAAGAAGAAGAAAAGCACAAAGAUGCCAUCUCCUAUAGCUAGCUAAUGUACCAUGAUAAACAUUAUACAUACUUUGGGGGAGAGAGUGGUGCCUCCGAUGACGAGGAAAGCAGCAGGGCAAGACCAACUGUCCCGGCAAGUCGAGUCAGGCAAACCGUCAAACGGCUGGGAGGUGGUCCUGACGGUCGUGGACUCGGAUGGGGGCAGCUGAAACCAGAAGCACACAUCCGGCCACCGCAGGGGGGAUGGGGAUUGGGCAGGUGGCGACCUGAUCGUGCAUGGAGUAGCGAACACCGCACUCGGUCCUCCCGCAGUCCCCGUCGACAGCCGUGUCGACGCACGUGCAGCCGCAGCCGCAGUGGUACUGAGGCUUGCCAAUGUUGCGGUUGAUGAGGCGCUGCAUCACCACCACCGACACAUAAAGGAGAGUAGGGCAUGGCCGGCACGGCCUCCUUGCGUCGCUCCUCGCUGCCCGCCCGACCCUGGGGUUCCACGAUGGUGGCGGCGCAGGAGAGACGGGCGGGGGCGACAGAUCUAAGAUAUGGCCGGAGUGGCACAACUUGGUGACGGGAGGGGCGCAGUCCACCGCUGCGCACUCAGCGAGGAUGGGCCGACCAACUGCCACGCGGGCUGAAAAGACCUCGAUGAUGCCUAGAGGGGGGGGUGAAUAGGCUAUUUAAAAACGUCUUCAGAUUUGGCUUGAACCUAAUGCGGAAAUAAACUAAGAGGGUACUUGUCAAGCACAAAUCCUAAAUGCACUAGGCACUGCAACGUGUAUCAACAACACGAUCUCCCAAGAUGGACACAAUACAGUUACUAACAAGCACAAGUAAGUUACACAAACUUACUUGAGCUAUAUCACACGACAAGUAGGUGAACAACAUAAGAUACUAAAUCACACUAUAUCAACACGAUAUAUCAAGGGUUGCAAGUAUGAACGUGUGGAUAUAGAGGGUAUGCUUGAAUGAUUAAUCUUGUACAAGAAAUAGCCAACACAAUAUAAUGAGCACAACCAAUAUGCAAUGUAUGUAUGCUCAAAUAACACAAGUAAACCACAAGUAAGGAGUUAGGGUUAAGGAUAACCAAGGUCACUGAGACGAAGAUGUAUCCCGAUGUUCACUUCUGUGACAUCCUCGACUUUUGCAACAGUAAUUAUUGUAAUUAAGCUACAGUGAUCAACCGCUAAUGAUGCCACGUCAUCGAAUUUCCAUCUCAGACCCGCGUUGAUUCAAGCCUAUCCGGAUUCAAAAUUUGAAAAACAAACAAAGAAAAGUACUUUAUAAGUUCAUUAUAAAUAUUAAAAGGAUAUGUAUAUGAAAGAGAGAAUUAAAAGUAUGUAUAAUAAAUUGUAAAAGAAAGUAUAAUAAAAGAAAGUAUUUAAAAAGAAAAAUCAGUUAGUAAAAUAAAUAGGAAAGAAAGAAAAAGAAACAAAGCAACAAAAUAAAAUUAAAAAAGGGACAACCCCCACCCCCUGGCCGAGCUGGACCAAAAGGCCCAACUGGCCAGCCCACUCCAAACCCUAGCGCCUCCCCCCCUGGCGAGGGACCCCUCUCGCUCCCUCCCCCCUGGGCGCCGCCAGCCUCCCCCUCGUGGGGGGCCCCACCCACCCAUGCUCUCUCUCUCCUGUAACCCUCCCCCACGAGAGCCCCCUCUCUCGGUCCUCUCCCCCACCCCACCGACACAUCUCUCCCUCCCACGACGCCAGAUCCCCCUCCUCUCCCACGUCGCCUCGCCCUCCUCUCCCGUAACUCCCGUCGCCCCCAGAUCCCUCCUCCCGGCCGGCGAGCCCCCACGGCCUCCUCCUCCCGCCGGCGCGCCCCCCUCACGGCCUCCUCCUCCCGCCGGCGGCCACCCCCUCACGGCCUCCUCCUCCCGCCGGCGGCCCCCCCUCACGGCCUCCUCCUCCCGCCGGCGGCCCCCCCCUCACGGGCCUCCUCCUCCCCCGGCGGCCCCUCCCCUCUCCCGGCCGGCGAGCCCCCCCUCCACCGCGCCGGCCAGCAGCACCACCCUCGGCCUCCACCCCGCCGGCCGAGGCCCCUUGUUCUCCCACCACGGCACCCCCCUGGAGACCGACCCCGGGAGCCCCGCCGGCCGAGCCCCUCCCCGUCGGCGGCUCCAUCCCGGGGGCCCUCCUCACCGGGGCCCCUCUCGGCGAACCUCCGGCCGGCUCCUCCUCGCCGGCACGCCCGUCUUCACCGGAACCGCGUCACCGUCGUCACCUUCACCUUCGUGCAAACUCCGGCUUCACCGGGCCGUCACGUCACCGUCGGUGAGCCCCUCCUCGGGCUCCUCCCACCUUGUCGUUCUCCUCGACGUCCCGGUUCCGUUCCGGCAAACGGGGCCUCGCUCCGUCGACGGUGGACUCCGGUAGGAGGAUUUGAGUGUUUGGUUCCUCUAGGUUGUGUUAGCAGAGAGAGUUCUCUGUCUCUUAACAGAGAGAGAGAUGAGUGUUGAGAGCUUUUGAGAGAAAAGAAAUAAAAUCAAAUGUUGUAUUCCGUAUGUAUGUAUGUAUGUAUUCGAUACCCGUAUUAUGUAUGUGUUUGCGUAUAUAGGCAUGUGGAGAGAUACGACAUUUGUAUGGUUAUUUAUUUGUGAUUAAAAUGUGUAAAUGGCCUAGGGUCACUUACCGGUGGGGCCAAUGCACCCGCUGUCUAUGACAGGGAGGCCCCACGCGAGAGUUAAUAUAAAUUAUAAAAAUAAUGUUUUUCUUAAAUAAAUAAAUAAAUAGAUAUAAUAAUUAAUUAAUGAGUUAAUGAAUUAGUUAAAUAAAUAUAUAAGUUAAUCUGUUAAUUAGAAUAAUUAAUUAACAUAAUUAGAGAAUGACACGCGGGUCCCUCACUAAAUUAAUCUGAUAAAUCAAUAUUUAAUCGAUAUUAAAACUUGUGCCUAUGACGUUCGGGACCCGCUGGUCAGUUGACCGGUCAAAUGUUGAUGUCAGCAUGACAUCGCGAUGAUGUCAUAAUAGGAUUUUAUUAAAUCUUUUAAAUCUGUUUUUAAUUCCUAAAUAAUUAAUAAAACUUUGAAAAUUAAUAUAAAAUAAUCCGUAAGUCAGAUCAAAAUAUUUUCAAUAUGAAAGUUGAUCAGCAAAGCGAGACGAACCCGGAUGCACGGUGUGUUCAUCUGUCACGCGUCCCUAGCAUAGCAAACAUGAAACUUUUCCAUCGUUUCCAGUAUAACCGGUAGUAGCCCGAGACCCGGAAAAUAUCAUCAGAUAUUCUUCCGACCCGUCUAUGACGGAUGUUGCUGCGUUAGCUCAUGUCUAGCCUGCAUCUUUUCAUGUCAUGCUUUGUGUUGCAUCGGUGCUAUUAUUUAUUGUUUCUUCCCCCUCUUCUUACCGGUAGACCCCGAGACUGACGCUGCUGCCGGGUACAUCUACGACCCUACCGAUCAGUUCUUUGCCGCAGAGCAGCAAGGCAAGCAAACUCCCCUUGAUCAUUCCUAUAUCGCCUAUGUCUUUCUUCCUACUGCUUGCAUUAGUAUUUUGCUACUGUUGUAGUUAGCUCCUAUAUCUGAUGCAUAGCCUGUUUUUGAUGAACUGCUACUUUCAGUCCUGUACCUUUAAUAUGCUUAGUAUAGGUGGAGCAGUCAUCCCCUCUGACCCCGUAGCUCAGUUGCCCCGCUUGUUGUCAAAUCUCGAUCUCUGAUCGACGAGCCAGACCCGACACAGCACAUCCACCCCCCUUCGUUGUACGACGCUAUAGGGAUACUAUCGGGUACCGAGGGUGACACCUCGCUAAGUACUCCUGAUGAUAUCUCUGUAGUAUAGCUAGUCGGUCAUGGUUAUCGAGGGUGAUUCCUCUUUCACCAUUCCCGAUGAUGCCUCUGUCGUACAACCCCUCAAGUGUGGGACCCCCGAGGGUGAUUCCUCUAAGUCCACCUUGACGGGUACAUCGUUCGGAAUCCAAUGAGGGUGAUACCUCGGAUUACCCCCGAUGUUACAACCACACAGUUACUCGACCAUGUUACUGGGAUCAUUGGUGAUUAGUUGUAAGACGGGUGGAUUCCCGCGAGACUGUGUUGCUGGCCUAAUUAAAAUGCUAAUGGAUUUGGGUAUUUGAUCUGGGUUGGUCGGAGACCUUUUCGCACUAACCGGCUACGCGGGAAGAAUUAUGGGUACUCGGCGUUGCGGUAUCAGCCGAAGCUUUUCAGAUGCCAGCAAUGUAGCGGCGCACGCCCGAGUGGUCCCGAGAUGCAUCGCGCUUGUGAUUAAGGGAUUCUAGGACUGACGUCGGCCGCCCACGCCACGUGCAGGAGCGUGAAGGGGAACUGGGCCCACGAACCCUUUGUGCUUAGGAUUUAGACCGGCGGGCUGGCCUCUCUGAUUAGUCUUAGGUGGGGCUGCGACGUGUCGAUAUUCCGAGGCCGGGCAGGACCCAGAAAAGUAUGUCCGGCCAGAGUGUUAUCGAGCGUGACGGGACAUGUGGUGCACCCCUGCAGGGAUGAAAAUUAACUAUUCGGAUAGCCGUGUCCACGGUUACAGGACGACUUGGAGUCGUGCCCCGAUCUUCUACAACUACAAUUGUUACUUAACUGGAAUUAGUUUGCCUCGGGAUUGCUUCCUCGCAGGGAGUCGAGGGAGGAUCUUUAGGCGUGACCUCACUUUAAUAUUGCUGCAACAAUAUGACUAUUAUGUGUUACCCCCUGUUCUACUCUCGUCUAUUGCUGCAAGACCCUGAAGAUGCUAGUCUUCGAUAGGACUAGGCCUUCUCUCUCUAUUCUCGCAUUGCUGCAGUCAGUCCACAUAUAACCCCCCCUUCUUUGAUACUGGUGCAUAAUUAGAAUAGUUCUGAUGUAAGACUUGCGAGUACUUUGGAUGAGUACUCACCGCUGCUUUGCUCCCCCUUGUUCCCUUGAUCCGUUUGCUGCGACCAGAUGAUGAAGCCCAGGAGAUGGAGGUCCCCGCCACCGACGACUGCUACCCCGACGGUGCCUACUACUACGUGGAGGCCGCUGAUGAUCAGGAGUAGUUAGGAGGUUCCCAGGCAGGAGGCCUCGCCUCGUUCGAUCGUUGUAUCUUUUGUGCUAGCCUUCUCUAAGGCACCCCAUGUUUUAUGUCUGUACUCAGAUAUUUGUUGCUUCCGCUGACUCGUGUGUUUAUCGAGCUUCCGUAUUCUAGCCCUCGAGGCCCCUGGCUUGUAAUAUGAAGCUGAUGUUAUUUUAUUUGUGUCGAGAGUUGUGUUGUGAUAUCUCCUCGUGAGUCCUUGGGUUUGAUCGUACGCAUUUGCGUGUAUGAUUAGCGUACGAUUAUGCCGAGGGCGUCACAACUUCCUUGGAGGGAAGCUAGUCACCGUUAGAGAGGUGGAUGUUACCAUGAAGGCACACCAACGCCACGAAGGCUCACCCUAUUCUCCCUUUGAGAUAACACCACGAAGGCGUUUCUCAACCACUAGUGGUAAGCCUUUGAGGUGGCUUCCAAACCCUCACAAACUUUUUCCGGGGGAAAUCACACGGAUUGAUUCCUCUCCGAAGAACUCCUACCGCCUAGGAGUCUCCAACCUCCAAGAGUAACAAGAUCACGGGGAAUGCUCAAAACUUGCUCAAAUCACAAAUAGCUUGGGUUGAGAGAAGGAGAGGGAGAAGAUCUAUCUUUUGAUUGGAACAACUCUCAAAGGGGCUCACAAAUGCUGUUGGGAUCUAAGAUUUGGAGUGAGCAAAUGUGUGUGAGGUGGAAAUGUGUUCUUAUGAGGAUAAGGCUGUGUUGGGCAACCCUCUCACGAAGUGGGAGGGGGUAUUUAUAGUGGGGAGAGAAAAAGAGCCGUUGGGGACACUUUAAGUCACACAGGGUCUGGACGUUCGACAGUAGUCGGAAGUCCGGGCGUCCGCGAGGGGUUGGACGUCCGACAGGGGUCGGUCGUCCGAGGCCAGUAGAUACGACUGAAACUAUUUUGAAUUAAACAACGACCGGACGUCCGACAGGGGUCGGUCGUACGAGGCUUGUAGAUACGGCUGAACAUAUUUGAAUUCAUCAGCAUACGGACGUCCGGAGUGGCCUGGAAGUCCGUGUUAUACAUCACAAGUUCUACUGGUGGUGGCUUCCGGAUUUCCGAUGGGUGUCGGACAUCCGGCGCUCGGACAUAUGGAGGGAGCCGGAUUUCCGAGAUAUAGUGCACACAUUCUACUAGUGUUGACCUCCGGAUUUCCGGAUCUUGGCCGGACGUCCGGAGGGAGCCGGAUUUCCGAGAUAUAGAACUCAACCUCUACUGGGGCAGACUUCCGGAUUUCCGGGUCUUGGCCGAACAUCCGGGCCUCGAACGUCCGGGGGGAGCCGGAAGUCCGAGUUAUAUGGCUCUGAUUUCUCUGGUAUAGGAUUCCGGAUUUCCGAACUAGUCGGUCCUCCGGUCCUCGGACGUCCGGAGAAAGCCGGAUGUCCGAGGCACUGGUUCUGUUUUCAUAAAACAACAAAACAGUGGAGAUGUGGUCUGAGCAGAAAGUGAUGAUGUAGUUUGAGCAAGUUCAUCGCAAAACCUAUGAUCCCCUCUUAAUAGUGCGGGAUCCGUAAGGACUCAAGAAUCAUAAAAGAGUACUGAGGAUCCAUACUUGAGUGUAUACUUUUAUUCACUGAUCAUCACUCCGCACAACUAACGUCAAAGGAACUGAUACCUUUGAGUUAGCCCCUUUCACCUGAGCUUGAUGUUGUUGUUCCUUCUUGGCUCAAGUUGAAAGCAAGACAUGAUGAAGUCUUCAAGUAGCUUUCCCAUACACAAUGCGGAAAGCCUAGCUUAUGUAUACAUCUUCAUUUGUCCACCAUGUGAACAUCCACAAGAAUCAAGCAUGUAGUGCUUAGGAAUGCUUAUCUUGAUCUUGUCCUUGUUAGCACAUGAGAUUGUCCUUAUCAGCACAUGAUCAUUGACAAUAGUUUCAAUGAUAUAUUCGUGAUGAUCCACUUGAACUUGCACACCACAAUCUUGAUGACGAUCACCACUUGACGUCAUCUUUCAUGGGUUGUAUGAGAUCUUCCUUUUGACGCAAGCCCAAUGAAAGCACACCUAAUCCCCACACAGGAGUCUCACAAAGACCAUGGGUUAGUACACAAACACGUAAUGGACAAUGCUUACCAUACCAUGGGAUCACUUCAUCCCUCUCGGUACAUCUUAUACGCUUUGUGUGUUGAUCAUCUUGAUUUACUCUUUGUCUGAGAUCUUGAUCAACCUAGUGUUCUAUGACCAUUCUUUGGAUAAUACCUUGAAUAAUAUCUUGGUCAUCGUAUAAACUCCUUGAACCCGACACAUGGACUUCAAGAAGUGCCUAUGGACAAAUCCUAUAAAUAUAACUUAAGGCAACCAUUAGUCCAUAGGAAUUGUCAUCAAUUACCAAAACCACAUAUGGAGAUAUAUGCUCUAACACGGGCCGCACGCGACAACGAGGGAAGGAGGAGAGGGGGGGGAGGUCGUUGCGCACGCGAGAUGCGCCGUCGCCCGAGUCUCCCUGGGGAGACGACCUGGGGGCAUGUGGUUUCGACUCCCGCUGGUUCAAUAUUAAAAAGUGCAGGGUCCUUUUUGUAAGAACGAAACAUUUUCUCAGUUCAGCCACUUAAAUUAGGACUGCGGGUUAAAUACCCAAAACAACAGGGAUUUUUUUGUAAAAAUGCCACGACGGACGACCAGAAACCCUAUUUGCUUUAUUAUUAGGAAGACUAGCAAAAUGGCCCGUGCGUUGCCACGGAAGAAAAAAAACA
Molecule: long non-coding RNA, 17008 nt
Filed under: Hordeum vulgare
Lineage: Eukaryota; Viridiplantae; Streptophyta; Magnoliopsida; Poales; Poaceae
Description: long non-coding RNA (HVUL_LNC008145)
Source: RNAcentral